Long non-coding RNA from Pteropus alecto (black flying fox), 256 nucleotides. RefSeq lists it as uncharacterized. The record is from RefSeq and is a predicted model, not a curated record. Lineage: Eukaryota; Metazoa; Chordata; Mammalia; Chiroptera; Pteropodidae. The transcript has 3 exons.
GUCACAGGAGGGCCUGGCAUCAGGAGGCCUCGCUUCCGUGCCCAGAGCUCCUCUGCAUCCUGGCAGGUCACACCAUCUCUUCCACUCAGGAAAAGUUCUACAUGAGCAUAAGAUGCAGGAGAUCUUAAGUGGGCAGCAGGAACUACCACUGACUGGAUCCUAAACCGCGCUCGGCACUGGACUAGGAUUUCUCAGUUCUCAGAGUCGCCACUGUGAAGCAGGUGCUCUUGUCCCCACAUCACGAAAGAGCCGAAGG